UCAUGAGGACACAGGGGCCACCCAAGGCAGGACUCCGGGUGAGGAUGAAUGCCGGUGGUACGAUGGAAGAGGUACGGGUCAGGCAGGUUUCGUUGGAGCAACACAGGUCCAUCCGAAUGGGAUAACGAGGUCAGUGCUCCAUCGUGUGGGUAAAGUGUGCAACCUCUGCGGAGUGUAAAAUUUAUUAGAAUAGCCGUGUCCAGGGUAUUGGACAUCCCGUCUAGACCUCACUAGGUUGUCAACUGUAAAGGUGAUAAUAAUGAUGGAAGAACUCGUCUUGUGCAGACAUCCGAUGAUGUCAGGAAUAUGAUAUGUUAGCCAUGGGAUGGCUAUGAGAUGGGUGGACGGAUGACCACAUGAGUUGGAUUAGAUUUGGAUCAGAUUGAGAUUGGAUCGUCAUGACAUUCAGAGUAUAAAUCAUUUACUUAAUAUGCUUUACCUUAUCGUAUUUACUUUAGUAGUUAUCUUGCUAGAUAGUCCUAUUAUAUCAUGAUAUUUAAUCCUGCUAGAUAGGUAAGCUAUGCCAUGAUAAUUAACAUUGCUCUAAUAACAAGUGCAUGCUUGAAUGCCAUAGAUUGCAUUGCUUAGUGUAUAUGUUAGUUCGGUUUGCUUGCGAGUACAUUCAAAAGUACUUAGCGGCUUUUAACAUGGCCAGGUUCACGUAAGGAUCCAUCGUCCGCCAUCGAGGAACCGGAGCCUUCACGGGCUAGGAGAGUAACUAUUGGGGAUAUUAUCUGUUGGGUAACCCGCCCUA
This 754-nucleotide long non-coding RNA is filed under the name Hordeum vulgare. Its description in RNAcentral is "long non-coding RNA (HVUL_LNC018007)". Lineage: Eukaryota; Viridiplantae; Streptophyta; Magnoliopsida; Poales; Poaceae. The record is from RNAcentral.